Molecule: transfer RNA, 72 nt
Organism: Toxocara canis (dog roundworm)
Lineage: Eukaryota; Metazoa; Nematoda; Chromadorea; Rhabditida; Toxocaridae
Rfam family: tRNA
About the family: Transfer RNA (tRNA) molecules are approximately 80 nucleotides in length.
Source: Rfam
UGGGCAGUAGCUCAGUGGUAGAGCUCUCGAUUCGCAGGCCAGAAGAUCUCGGUUUGAUUCCCGGCUGCGUAC